GAUGAACGCUGGCGGCGUGCCUAAUACAUGCAAGUCGAGCGAACGGACGAGAAGCUUGCUUCUCUGAUGUUAGCGGCGGACGGGUGAGUAACACGUGGAUAACCUACCUAUAAGACUGGGAUAACUUCGGGAAACCGGAGCUACUACCGGAUGAUAUUUUGAACCGCAUGGUUCAAAAGUGAAAGACGGUCUUGCUGUCACUUAUAGAUGGAUCCGCGCUGCAUUAGCUAGUUGGUAAGGUAACGGCUUACCAAGGCAACGAGGCAUAGCCGACCUGAGAGGGCGGUCGGCCACACUGGAACUGAGACACGGUCCAGACUCCUACGGGAGGAAGCAGUAGGGAAUCUUCCGCAAUGGGCGAAAGCCUGACGGAGCAACGCCGCGGGAGUGAUGAAGGUCUUCGGAUCGGAAAACUCUGUUAUUAGGGAAGAAGAUAUGUGUAAGUAACUGUGAACAUCUUGACGGUACCGAAUCAGAAAGCCACGGCUAACUACGUG
This 497-nucleotide ribosomal RNA is filed under the name uncultured bacterium. Its description in RNAcentral is "partial 16S ribosomal RNA". It matches the Rfam family "Bacterial small subunit ribosomal RNA", at positions 28 to 507 of the family's 1533-position model. The record is from RNAcentral.